RNAcentral lists this ribosomal RNA (25 nucleotides) under Neocatenulostroma abietis. RNAcentral's name for it is "partial 28S ribosomal RNA". The record is from RNAcentral. Lineage: Eukaryota; Fungi; Ascomycota; Dothideomycetes; Mycosphaerellales; Teratosphaeriaceae.
GUUGACCUCGGAUCAAGGAGGGAUA